RNAcentral lists this ribosomal RNA (240 nucleotides) under uncultured bacterium. RNAcentral's name for it is "partial 16S ribosomal RNA". It matches the Rfam family "Bacterial small subunit ribosomal RNA", at positions 99 to 334 of the family's 1533-position model. The record is from RNAcentral.
CGAACGGGUGAGUAACACGUGGGUAAUCUGCCCUCGGUUCCGGGAUAGCCCGGGGAAACUCGGAUUAAUACCGGAUAGCCUCACGAACCUUCGGGGAGUGAGAAAAGGUAGCUUUGGCCUCUGACCGAGGAUGAGCCCGCGGUGGAUUAGCUUGUUGGCGGGGUAACGGCCCACCAAGGCGACGAUCCAUAGCUGGUCUGAGAGGACGAUCAGCCACACUGGGACUGAGACACGGCCCAG